AUAUAUAUAUCUGCAGA
RNAcentral lists this small RNA (17 nucleotides) under Arabidopsis thaliana (thale cress). RNAcentral's name for it is "ATSL243110". Lineage: Eukaryota; Viridiplantae; Streptophyta; Magnoliopsida; Brassicales; Brassicaceae. The record is from RNAcentral.